AGUGAACGCUGGCGGUAGGCCUAACACAUGCAAGUCGAACGGCAGCACACUAAGAGCUUGCUCUUACGGGUGGCGAGUGGCGGACGGGUGAGGUAUAUAUCGGAAUCUACUUUUUCGUGGGGGAUAACGUAGGGAAACUUACGCUAAUACCGCAUACGACCUACGGGUGAAAGCAGGGGAUCUUCGGACCUUGCGCGAUUGAAUGAGCCGAUGUCGGAUUAGCUAGUGGGCGGGGUAAAGGCCCACCAAGGCGACGAUCCGUAGCUGGUCUGAGAGGCUGAUCGCCGACACUAGAAGGGAAACACGGACAAGACGACUGCGGGAGGGAGCAGAGGGGUACGGUAGGCAAUAGGCGCGAACAUGGUACAGCGGUCGCGCGUGGGUGAAGGCGGCCUUGGGGUUGGAAAGACCUUUUGUUGGGAGAGAAAAGCUGCCGCUUGAGACGACGCGGGUCUGACGGUACUCGAUAAAGAAGCACCGGCUAACUACGUG
This 492-nucleotide ribosomal RNA is filed under the name uncultured bacterium. Its description in RNAcentral is "partial 16S ribosomal RNA". It matches the Rfam family "Bacterial small subunit ribosomal RNA", at positions 30 to 507 of the family's 1533-position model. The record is from RNAcentral.